AACGAACGCUGGCGGCAUGCCUAACACAUGCAAGUCGAACGAGACCUUCGGGUCUAGUGGCGCACGGGUGCGUAACGCGUGGGAACCUGCCCUUAGGUUCGGAAUAACUCCCUGAAAGGGGUGCUAAUACCGGAUAAUGUCCUCGGACCAAAGAUUUAUCGCCUUUGGAUGGGCCCGCGUUGGAUUAGCUAGUUGGUAGGGUAAAAGCCUACCAAGGCGACGAUCCAUAGCUGGUCUGAGAGGAUGAUCAGCCACACUGGGACUGAGACACGGCCCAGACUCCUACGGGAGGCAGCAGUGGGGAAUAUUGGACAAUGGGCGAAAGCCUGAUCCAGCAAUGCCGCGUGAGUGAUGAAGGCCUUAGGGUUGUAAAGCUCUUUUACCCGGGAUGAUAAUGACAGUACCGGGAGAAUAAGCUCCGGCUAACUCCGUG
RNAcentral lists this ribosomal RNA (433 nucleotides) under uncultured bacterium. RNAcentral describes it as "partial 16S ribosomal RNA". It matches the Rfam family "Bacterial small subunit ribosomal RNA", at positions 29 to 507 of the family's 1533-position model. The record is from RNAcentral.